GACAGAUACAGAGGAGCAGAGGAGGUGCAGAGUCCUGGUGUGGGGAUAGACAGAUACAGAGGAGCAGAGGAGGUGCAGAGGCCUGGUGUGGGGAUAGACAGAUACAGAGGAGCAGAGGAGGUGCAGAGUCCUGGUGUGGGGAUAGACAGAUACAGAGGAGCAGAGGAGGUGCAGAGGCCUGGUGUGGGGAUAGACAGAUACAGAGGAGCAGAGGAGGUGCAGAGUCCUGGUGUGGGGAUAGACAGAUACAGAGGAGCAGAGGAGGUGCAGAGUCCUGGUGUGGGGAUAGACAGAUACAGAGGAGCAGAGAAGGUGCAGAGGAGAUGGGGCC
Oncorhynchus keta (chum salmon) is the source of this 331-nucleotide long non-coding RNA. RefSeq lists it as uncharacterized. The record is from RefSeq and is a predicted model, not a curated record. NCBI's taxonomy places the organism in Eukaryota, Metazoa, Chordata, Actinopteri, Salmoniformes, Salmonidae. The transcript is spliced from 3 exons.